GGAAAAGAUGGCAGGAGUAGCGAGCCGGGGUUCCAUCAGCCCGCAAUACGGUGGAAACUUAUAAUUGCCAACAACGAAUACGCUUACACUGCUUAAUUAGCAACUCACCCCCUACCUGUGUUGGGCCCGUGGCCCGGGCUAGGGGAUAACUUAAACGGGCCAGCUUUCAGGCCAAUUCUCGGAGGUCUGGCGGGACAAUUAUCGAGAUAGUUCCCAAGGAGGCUGACUGUGGCCGCCAAGGGCGUGAAAUUUAAAUCAUAGUCUGCGCUCGGAGACACUCCUGUGGUCGUUCU
Molecule: transfer-messenger RNA, 293 nt
Filed under: Desulfotomaculum sp.
Lineage: Bacteria; Bacillati; Bacillota; Clostridia; Eubacteriales; Desulfotomaculaceae
Rfam family: transfer-messenger RNA
About the family: Bacterial tmRNA, also known as 10Sa RNA or SsrA, is named for its dual tRNA and mRNA-like properties. Its role is to liberate the mRNA from a stalled ribosome.
Source: RNAcentral